GCAGAAGUGUAUAUUUGAACAAACUUUUUGGCAUUACAUGUAUCUCUCCACUUUCUCUUCUUUUCAUAAAAUUUAUUUAAAAAUUAUUCUUAUUCAUUGAAGGGUUAAUCGAUAGUUUAUGUAUAUUUGUGAUAAUAUGACAAAAGUCUUUCCUUAAUAUUAAACUUCGUAUCAAAUUAAAUCAGACCAUUUUUUUAAACGGAGGAAGUAGGUUGUAUUGUCUUGAUAAGUUAAUGCCAAAUGACAAAAGAUAAAAAGAUGGUCAAAAGUAAUGAAAAGUAGAGCAUGCCAUGAAUGAGACUAAAAUAAUAGAUUAAAAUAAUCUUAAAGUUAUAAAGCUUAGAUGUAAAAUAUUAAAGGGAUCCUUUUUUUUAAAAGAGAAUAGCACUCCUACGCCUUUUCUUUCAUCUUACCCAUCCCUUGCACGCUCCUCACCUCCCAAAACCCAAAUUUGAAUGGCUAUUCCCUAAUUUUCAGAAAAAAUCAUAAAUCCGUGACUUUUUCUUCUUCUCCAUAUCUUUUUUCUUGAAAAUUCGGUACGUCACCACUGUCGCCUAUCAUUAUUGGUGGAAUUUAUGCUCAAGUAGUUGGUCAAAGAUAAGGAAAGAGUUUCGGAUUCCUAUCCGGAAUCUUUGGACGUCAAAACCUUAGAUUGUUGUUCAACACAAGGGACCAACAUUGCUCCACACUCUCCUCUCCAUGGCUAAGUUUGUCGUUGAAGGCUACUAGUAGUUGGUGAGUUCCCAUAUUUUGGGAACAACAUCCCUAUCUUUCUAGAUUAUGCUUUGUAUAGACUAUUGAGUUACUUUUGGUACUUUUGACUUAUAUCUUGAGGGUGAGCUAGGGACAUGUCUUAGCCCCCGUCAAGUCUUUAAAGUAAAAGGUAGGUUGGACAAAGUGUAUGAUCUUCAAAUGACUUGGACUCUUAUGUUAUAUGGAA
This is a long non-coding RNA of Solanum dulcamara, 940 nucleotides long. RefSeq lists it as uncharacterized. The transcript has 3 exons. The record is from RefSeq and is a predicted model, not a curated record. Lineage: Eukaryota; Viridiplantae; Streptophyta; Magnoliopsida; Solanales; Solanaceae.